This 484-nucleotide ribosomal RNA is filed under the name uncultured bacterium. Its description in RNAcentral is "partial 16S ribosomal RNA". It matches the Rfam family "Bacterial small subunit ribosomal RNA", at positions 28 to 507 of the family's 1533-position model. The record is from RNAcentral.
AUUGAACGCUGGCGGCAUGCUUUACACAUGCAAGUCGAACGGCAGCGCGGGCUUCGGCCUGGCGGCGAGUGGCGAACGGGUGAGUAAUGCAUCGGAACGUGCCCAGUAGUGGGGGAUAGCCUGGCGAAAGCCGGACUAAUACCGCAUACGACCUGAGGGUGAAAGCGGGGGACCGAAAGGCCUCGCGCUAUUGGAGCGGCCGAUGUCGGAUUAGCUAGUUGGUGGGGUAAAGGCUUACCAAGGCGACGAUCCGUAGCUGGUCUGAGAGGACGACCAGCCACACUGGGACUGAGACACGGCCCAGACUCCUACGGGAGGCAGCAGUGGGGAAUUUUGGACAAUGGGGGCAACCCUGAUCCAGCCAUGCCGCGUGCGGGAAGAAGGCCUUCGGGUUGUAAACCGCUUUUGUUCGGGAAGAAAUCCUCUGGGCUAAUACCCCGGGGGGAUGACGGUACCGGAAGAAUAAGCACCGGCUAACUACGUG